Molecule: ribosomal RNA, 1491 nt
Filed under: Mycobacterium gordonae
Lineage: Bacteria; Bacillati; Actinomycetota; Actinomycetes; Mycobacteriales; Mycobacteriaceae
Description: bacterial SSU rRNA
Rfam family: Bacterial small subunit ribosomal RNA
Source: RNAcentral
AGAGUUUGAUCAUGGCUCAGGACGAACGCUGGCGGCGUGCUUAACACAUGCAAGUCGAACGGUAAGGCCCUUCGGGGUACACGAGUGGCGAACGGGUGAGUAACACGUGGGUAAUCUGCCCUGCACAUCGGGAUAAGCCUGGGAAACUGGGUCUAAUACCGAAUAGGACCACAGAACACAUGUCCUGUGGUGGAAAGCUUUUGCGGUGUGGGAUGGGCCCGCGGCCUAUCAGCUUGUUGGUGGGGUGAUGGCCCACCAAGGCGACGACGGGUAGCCGGCCUGAGAGGGUGUCCGGCCACACUGGGACUGAGAUACGGCCCAGACUCCUACGGGAGGCAGCAGUGGGGAAUAUUGCACAAUGGGCGAAAGCCUGAUGCAGCGACGCCGCGUGGGGGAUGACGGCCUUCGGGUUGUAAACCUCUUUCACCAUCGACGAAGGUUCGGGUUUUCUCGGAUUGACGGUAGGUGGAGAAGAAGCACCGGCCAACUACGUGCCAGCAGCCGCGGUAAUACGUAGGGUGCGAGCGUUGUCCGGAAUUACUGGGCGUAAAGAGCUCGUAGGUGGUUUGUCGCGUUGUUCGUGAAAUCUCACGGCUUAACUGUGAGCGUGCGGGCGAUACGGGCAGACUUGAGUACUGCAGGGGAGACUGGAAUUCCUGGUGUAGCGGUGGAAUGCGCAGAUAUCAGGAGGAACACCGGUGGCGAAGGCGGGUCUCUGGGCAGUAACUGACGCUGAGGAGCGAAAGCGUGGGGAGCGAACAGGAUUAGAUACCCUGGUAGUCCACGCCGUAAACGGUGGGUACUAGGUGUGGGUUUCCUUCCUUGGGAUCCGUGCCGUAGCUAACGCAUUAAGUACCCCGCCUGGGGAGUACGGCCGCAAGGCUAAAACUCAAAGAAAUUGACGGGGGCCCGCACAAGCGGCGGAGCAUGUGGAUUAAUUCGAUGCAACGCGAAGAACCUUACCUGGGUUUGACAUGCACAGGACGCCGGCAGAGAUGUCGGUUCCCUUGUGGCCUGUGUGCAGGUGGUGCAUGGCUGUCGUCAGCUCGUGUCGUGAGAUGUUGGGUUAAGUCCCGCAACGAGCGCAACCCUUGUCUCAUGUUGCCAGCGGGUAAUGCCGGGGACUCGUGAGAGACUGCCGGGGUCAACUCGGAGGAAGGUGGGGAUGACGUCAAGUCAUCAUGCCCCUUAUGUCCAGGGCUUCACACAUGCUACAAUGGCCGGUACAGAGGGCUGCGAUGCCGCGAGGUUAAGCGAAUCCUUUUAAAGCCGGUCUCAGUUCGGAUCGGGGUCUGCAACUCGACCCCGUGAAGUCGGAGUCGCUAGUAAUCGCAGAUCAGCAACGCUGCGGUGAAUACGUUCCCGGGCCUUGUACACACCGCCCGUCACGUCAUGAAAGUCGGUAACACCCGAAGCCAGUGGCCUAACCCUUUGGGAGGGAGCUGUCGAAGGUGGGAUCGGCGAUUGGGACGAAGUCGUAACAAGAGCCGC